AACCUUAUGGACCUGCGGGCGUAUACCUGCGGAAGGAUCAUUACAGAGUUGCAAAACUCCAACAAACCAUCGCGAAUCUUACCCGUACGGUUGCCUCGGCGCUGGCGGUCCGGAAGGCCCUCGGGCCCCCGGAUCCUCGGGUCUCCCGCUCGCGGGAGGCUGCCCGCCGGAGUGCCGAAACCAAAACUCUUGAUAUUUUAUGUCUCUCUGAGUAAACUUUUAAAUAAGUCAAAACUUUUA
RNAcentral lists this unclassified non-coding RNA (240 nucleotides) under soil metagenome. Its description in RNAcentral is "partial contains 5.8S ribosomal RNA, internal transcribed spacer 2, and large subunit ribosomal RNA". The record is from RNAcentral.